CUGGCGGCACGCCUAACACAUGCAAGUCGAACGCAGUAGCAAUACUGAGUGGCAAACGGGUGAGUAAUAUGUGGGAAUCUGCCUUUUGGUUCGGAAUAACACGGGGAAACUUGUGCUAAUACCGAAUAAGCCCUUACGGGGAAAGUUUUAAUGCCGAAAGAUGAGCCCGCACUUGAUUAGCUAGUUGGUAAGGUAAAAGCUUACCAAGGCAACGAUCAAUAGCUGUUCUUAGAGGAAGACCAGCCACAUUGGGACUGAGACACGGCCCAGACUCCUACGGGAGGCAGCAGUGGGGAAUCUUGCACAAUGGGGGAAACCCUGAUGCAGCGAUGCCGCGUGAGUGAAGAAGGCCUUUGGGUUGUAAAACUCUUUCGUCGGGGAAGAAAAUGACUGUACCCGAAUAAGAAGGUC
RNAcentral lists this ribosomal RNA (411 nucleotides) under uncultured bacterium. RNAcentral describes it as "bacterial SSU rRNA". It matches the Rfam family "Bacterial small subunit ribosomal RNA", at positions 36 to 493 of the family's 1533-position model. The record is from RNAcentral.